GCGCGAAAACUUUGCAAUGCGGGAAACCGUGACAAGGGAACUCUGAGUGCCCGUAAAAUCGGGCUGUCCAUCAGUUUAAAUAACUGGUGAAGAAAGGGCCGGGCAAGACCGGUGCCAGCCGCCGCGGUAAUACCGGCGGCUCGAGUGGUGGCCACUAUUACUGGGCUUAAAGCGUUCGUAGCUGGUUUGUUAAGUCUCUGGGGAAAUCUUCCGGCUUAACCGGAAGGCGUCUCAGGGAUACUGGCAGACUAGGGACCGGAAGAGGUGAGAGGUACUCCAGGGGUAGGA
This 288-nucleotide ribosomal RNA is filed under the name uncultured archaeon. RNAcentral describes it as "partial 16S rRNA". It matches the Rfam family "Archaeal small subunit ribosomal RNA", at positions 339 to 631 of the family's 1478-position model. The record is from RNAcentral.